RNAcentral lists this ribosomal RNA (499 nucleotides) under Aspergillus niger. RNAcentral describes it as "eukaryotic LSU rRNA". It matches the Rfam family "Eukaryotic large subunit ribosomal RNA", at positions 96 to 598 of the family's 3401-position model. The record is from RNAcentral. Lineage: Eukaryota; Fungi; Ascomycota; Eurotiomycetes; Eurotiales; Aspergillaceae.
AAGCGGCAAGAGCUCAAUUUUGAAAGCUGGCCUCCUUCGGAGUCCGCAUUGUAAUUUGCAGAGGAUGCUUUGGGUGCGGCCCCCGUCUAAGUGCCCUGGAACGGGCCGUCAGAGAGGGUGAGAAUCCCGUCUUGGGCGGGGUGUCCGUGCCCGUGUAAAGCUCCUUCGACGAGUCGAGUUGUUUGGGAAUGCAGCUCUAAAUGGGUGGUAAAUUUCAUCUAAAGCUAAAUACUGGCCGGAGACCGAUAGCGCACAAGUAGAGUGAUCGAAAGAUGAAAAGCACUUUGAAAAGAGAGUUAAACAGCACGUGAAAUUGUUGAAAGGGAAGCGCUUGCGACCAGACUCGCCCGCGGGGUUCAGCCGGCAUUCGUGCCGGUGUACUUCCCCGUGGGCGGGCCAGCGUCGGUUUGGGCGGCCGGUCAAAGGCCCCUGGAAUGUAGUGCCCUCCGGGGCACCUUAUAGCCAGGGGUGCAAUGCGGCCAGCCUGGACCGAGGAACG